AACGAACGCUGGCGGCAUGCCUAACACAUGCAAGUCGAACGAGACCUUCGGGUCUAGUGGCGCACGGGUGCGUAACGCGGGGGAACCUGCCCUUAGGUUCGGAAUAACUCCCCGAAAGGGGUGCUAAUACCGGAUAAUGUCUUCGGACCAAAGAUUUAUCGCCUUUGGAUGGGGCCGCGUUGGCUUAGUGAGUUGGUAGGGUAAAAGCCUACCAAGGCGACGUUCCAGAGCUGGUCUGAGAGGAUGCCCCGCCACGCUGGGGCUGAGACACGGCCCAGACUCCUACGGAAGGCAGCGGUGGGGAAUAUUGGGGGCGGGGCGAAAGCCUGACCCAGCCGUGCCGCGUGAGUGAUGAAGGCCUUAGGGUUGUACAGCUCUUUUACCCGGGAUGAUAAUGACGGUACCGGGAGAAUAAGCACCGGCUAACUCCGUG
RNAcentral lists this ribosomal RNA (433 nucleotides) under uncultured bacterium. Its description in RNAcentral is "partial 16S ribosomal RNA". It matches the Rfam family "Bacterial small subunit ribosomal RNA", at positions 29 to 507 of the family's 1533-position model. The record is from RNAcentral.